RNAcentral lists this ribosomal RNA (500 nucleotides) under uncultured bacterium. Its description in RNAcentral is "bacterial SSU rRNA". It matches the Rfam family "Bacterial small subunit ribosomal RNA", at positions 9 to 519 of the family's 1533-position model. The record is from RNAcentral.
GAGUUUGAUCGUGGCUCAGGACGAACGCUGGCGGCGUGCUUAACACAUGCGAGUCAAGGGGGCCCAGCAAUGGGCAACCGGCGAACGGGUGCGUAACACGUGAGCAACCUACCGAAAUGCGGGGGAUAGCCGGCCUAACGGCCGAGUAAUACCGCAUACGCUCUUUAUGAGGCAUUUCAUGGAGAGGAAACCUACGGGGUAUUUCGAGGGGCUCGCGGCCUAUCAGCUAGUUGGCGAGGUAACGGCUCACCAAGGCAACGACGGGUAGCUGGUCUGAGAGGAUGGCCAGCCACAUUGGGACUGAGAUACGGCCCAGACUCCUACGGGAGGCAGCAGUGGGGAAUCUUGCGCAAUGGCCUAACGGCUGACGCAGCGACGCCGCGUGUGGGAUGAAGCUCCUCGGAGUGUAAACCACUGUUGCCCGGGACGAAUAGCUCGAUUAAUCGAGCCUGACGGUACCGGGUGAGGAAGCACCGGCUAACUCCGUGCCAGCCGCCGCA